UACGGGGGGAGCAAGCGUUGUUCGGAUUUACUGGGCGUAAAGGGCGCGUAGGCGGUCGUGACAAGUCACUUGUGAAAUCUCCGGGCUUAACUCGGAACGGUCAAGUGAUACUGUCGGACUAGAGUACGGAAGGGGCAACUGGAAUUCUCGGUGUAGCGGUGAAAUGCGUAGAUAUCGAGAGGAACACCUGCGGCGAAGGCGGGUUGCUGGGCUGAUACUGACGCUGAGGCGCGAAAGCCAGGGGAGCGAACGGG
This 254-nucleotide ribosomal RNA is filed under the name uncultured bacterium. RNAcentral describes it as "partial 16S ribosomal RNA". It matches the Rfam family "Bacterial small subunit ribosomal RNA", at positions 524 to 776 of the family's 1533-position model. The record is from RNAcentral.